UAAUACGACUCACUAUAGGCCAACUGAUAGCAAAGCUCACAAUACAAAGAAGUUAACCUCACAGCUGGUUUUCUACCCACCCUCACACAUGGGAAGGGCUUAACAAGAGAACAUGCCCCGAACAAAAACAACACCUCGGCAUAAGAAACUUCAACAAAACCAAACCCCCUCCGAGAUAACUCACCAAAACAACCGACUAGCGCUCCAAGCCCGCGUAUUCUCCCUAUAG
RNAcentral lists this small RNA (229 nucleotides) under Camellia sinensis. Its description in RNAcentral is "transcribed RNA". The record is from RNAcentral. Lineage: Eukaryota; Viridiplantae; Streptophyta; Magnoliopsida; Ericales; Theaceae.